AGAGUUUGAUCCUGGCUCAGAAUGAACGCUGGCGGCGUGCCUAACACAUGCAAGUCGAAUGUGCCGCAAGGUGCAUGGCAGACGGGUGAGUAACGCGUAGGGAAUCUACCUUUUAGUGGGGAAUAACGCUCCGAAAGGAGUGGUAAUACCGCAUGAGACCGUAGUCUGGGAUGACUACGGUGAAACCUGGGGACCGCAAGGCCUGGGGCUAAAAGAGGAUCCUGCGUCUGAUUAGCUAGUUGGCGGGGUAAUGGCCCACCAAGGCGACGAUCAGUAGCCGGCCUGAGAGGGUGAUCGGCCACACUGGAACUGAGACACGGUCCAGACUCCUACGGGAGGCAGCAGUGGGGAAUUUUGGACAAUGGGCGCAAGCCUGAUCCAGCCAUGCCGCGUGAGUGAAGAAGGCCUUCGGGUUGUAAAGCUCUUUCGGCGGGGAAGAAAUUGCUUAGGUUAAUACCUUGAGUAGAUGACGGUACCCGCAUAAGAAGCACCGGCUAACUACGUGCCAGCAGCCGCGGUAAUACGUAGGGUGCGAGCGUUAAUCGGAAUUACUGGGCGUAAAGCGUGCGCAGGCGGUUGUGUAAGUCAGAUGUGAAAUCCCCGGGCUCAACCUGGGAACUGCAUUUGAGACUGCACGGCUAGAGUGUAGCAGAGGGGGGUAGAAUUCCACGUGUAGCAGUGAAAUGCGUAGAUAUGUGGAGGAACACCGAUGGCGAAGGCAAUCCCCUGGACCUGUACUGACGCUCAUGCACGAAAGCGUGGGGAGCAAACAGGAUUAGAUACCCUGGUAGUCC
Molecule: ribosomal RNA, 794 nt
Filed under: uncultured bacterium
Lineage: Bacteria
Description: bacterial SSU rRNA
Rfam family: Bacterial small subunit ribosomal RNA
Source: RNAcentral